This 403-nucleotide transfer-messenger RNA is filed under the name Candidatus Kerfeldbacteria bacterium. It matches the Rfam family "transfer-messenger RNA". Rfam says of the family: Bacterial tmRNA, also known as 10Sa RNA or SsrA, is named for its dual tRNA and mRNA-like properties. Its role is to liberate the mRNA from a stalled ribosome. To accomplish this part of the tmRNA is used as a reading frame that ends in a translation stop signal. Lineage: Bacteria; Candidatus Kerfeldiibacteriota. The record is from RNAcentral.
GGGGAUGUCCAAUCGUUGAUUGUUCUUUGAUAUCACUUCUGUGCAUGUCGAGUUGAUGUCUCUCGUUUCAAAAGCAUCAAAUUCCGAAGUGCAAACUUCACCAGUCGUUUGAAAGCUAAAGUGAACGCUCUCGUGGCUUCACUCACUCUCACACCGGCUGCUGUUGCUGCGUAGAAAUACCGCAACCAUCGCCCGUCGGGUUUCCAUACUGACGAUCAGCGGUGCCAUUCUAUGGAAUUGCUGUGCGCAUAUCUUGUGGCACGCGGGACUUUUACCAAGAUGUAGACAUACUGUUCUUUGUCGGUUUGCCGGCAGUACGUUGAAACUCUCCAAAUCUGACUAUGCAUGAAGAUCAGAGUGAUACAUGAACAAGACGUGGGUGUGAGGCCCACCAUCUCCACCA